GAGUUUGAUCGUGGCUCAGAUUGAACGCUGGCGGCAUGCCUUACACAUGCAAGUCGAACGGCAGCACGGGAGCUUGCUCCUGGUGGCGAGUGGCGAACGGGUGAGUAAUGCAUCGGAACGUAUCCUGGAGUGGGGGAUAACGUAGCGAAAGUUACGCUAAUACCGCAUAUUCUGUGAACAGGAAAGCGGGGGACCUUCGGGCCUCGCGCUCUUGGAGCGGCCGAUGUCGGAUUAGCUAGUUGGUGAGGUAAAGGCUCACCAAGGCGACGAUCCGUAGCAGGUCUGAGAGGAUGAUCUGCCACACUGGAACUGAGACACGGUCCAGACUCCUACGGGAGGCAGCAGUGGGGAAUUUUGGACAAUGGGGGCAACCCUGAUCCAGCCAUGCCGCGUGAGUGAAGAAGGCCUCGG
This 411-nucleotide ribosomal RNA is filed under the name bacterium enrichment culture clone ALO1_GLFRUDD03GUOMB. RNAcentral's name for it is "bacterial SSU rRNA". It matches the Rfam family "Bacterial small subunit ribosomal RNA", at positions 9 to 420 of the family's 1533-position model. The record is from RNAcentral.